Molecule: non-coding RNA, 144 nt
Filed under: Kluyvera ascorbata
Lineage: Bacteria; Pseudomonadati; Pseudomonadota; Gammaproteobacteria; Enterobacterales; Enterobacteriaceae
Description: FMN riboswitch (RFN element)
Rfam family: FMN riboswitch aptamer (RFN element)
About the family: The RFN element is a highly conserved domain that is found frequently in the 5'-untranslated regions of prokaryotic mRNAs that encode for flavin mononucleotide (FMN) biosynthesis and transport proteins. This element is a metabolite-dependent riboswitch that directly binds FMN in the absence of proteins.
Source: RNAcentral
UAUUCUCAGGGCGGGGCGAAAUUCCCCACCGGCGGUAAAUCAGCUACGGCUGAAAGCCCGCGAGCGCUUCCCAUGUCCAAUGGGAGGGUCAGCAGAUCCGGUGUAAUUCCGGGGCCGACGGUUAAAGUCCGGAUGGGAGAGAGU